This is a non-coding RNA of Schizosaccharomyces pombe (fission yeast), 1580 nucleotides long. Lineage: Eukaryota; Fungi; Ascomycota; Schizosaccharomycetes; Schizosaccharomycetales; Schizosaccharomycetaceae. The record is from the annotation of a GenBank genome assembly.
UCAAAGUCAGACUCAUAUUGAGGGAAAAAUGAAUCUGAGUCGGUUACCACUGAAACACCAGGUCCACCUAAUUGAACAUCGUAAAUAGAAUUUUUAUGGGCUAAUAGUGAUUCUUUACAUAACUUAAAUUCCUCUUCUUUGCACUCAGGUGUUAAUAAAGUAAUCGUACAACCUCCACCACCGGCACCUGUAAGCUUCGUCCAUCCAAUUGACUUAGUGGCUUGUAAAACGCGAUCAAUGGAAUAAUGGGAUACACCCAAGCAUUCUAAGAGUUUUUGAUUAAGAACAAUAAACUCUCCUAACUUUUUAGCGGAGGAGUUUUUAUCGCUCUCCGAAGUCAAUGCGAGGACGGCAGACUUUGAUAUGCCAUCGAUUGCAUCUAUUAUUGAGUCAAUCACAGUUGGUAGUCUUUCCUUCAGUUCAAAAACUCCUUGUACAAGUUUUUUAGUACUUUUUGGUUGUUUGGUAUCAGUGAUCAUAACAGAUAAGGUAUCUUUAGGCUUUAAGAAUUCUUUCAUGGCACUCUGAUGAGCUGUAGCUUUACGAAAAGCGAUAAGUCCUCCAUUUGUUGCUACUGCAUUAUCAAUACCACUUGGUGUUCCAUGAAUACAGCAUUCACCUAGAAAAGACCAAGCCUCUAUCAACGCAAGUGCUUUGUUGUUUUGAAGAGAAUUUGAGCUAGGAGGUUCAAUAUUACCAAAAGCUAGUAGUAAACUUGUAGCGACAACAACUGAUAUAGUAGCACUACUACCUAAUCCAGCACCCAAAGGUACUUGGGAGCUAAUAGUUAAAGUACAACCCUGAGAAGGAGAAGACAAAGACGUGAACAAGUAAAGGGUACAAAGCAUUGCUGAGUGAAUAAGUCCGUUUUCUUCAUUUUUUAAUAGCUCUCCUAAUCCUUGUAAAAGGUCCAGAUUGGGAGAUGAUGCCGGGUGCUGAACGUUUUCCACUGUUACAUGCUGCCAAGGUAGCGAUUGAAGAUUCCAUCGGCGUUCGGUCCCUAUAUCACUCAUCACAAUUACUAUUUCAUUGUUAUUAGUCGUCUGUAAUUUACAGUAACUCCGUAACGAUACAGCUGCAGCUAACGCAGUCUAGAAAGUUAGCAUAAAAAUUUAAAUGAUCUCCAUAUUUUCGCUUUAAAAUGGCUUAAGAUUAGAAUCAAAAAUAAGCAUGGCUAUAGCAGAAUGACAUUUGCGACGACUGUCAAAGUUAAAAGUGGUGUUCGCUUUGCAAAUACUAUGUUACAAAGAAAUCAUAUAUGCAUAACAGAGCUGUAUCCAGUACUAGCCUGUUAAAAACUCUCGCUAAUGUAAUCUGCUUUAAACCUUAGGUAAACUUACAGCUCCAUAUACAACGGCAUGUUCCCCAAACAAAAUCGUUUUUCCUGGCGACGAAACAAUAAGCGAUUUUGACAUUUCAGAAAUUUUUUUUACGUUCAACUUCAAAACACAGUUAAAAUAAGGUGAUGGUAAAUAGGCGACGAAGGUUGGUUAUCGACAGAUAUCUACGCAAACAGGACAAGGUGAUGAUGGUAUUGGAAGUUGUAGCAAAAGAUUGGUAUUUUAAUUAAAAAGUUACUU